Molecule: long non-coding RNA, 175 nt
Organism: Thalassophryne amazonica
Lineage: Eukaryota; Metazoa; Chordata; Actinopteri; Batrachoidiformes; Batrachoididae
Exons: 3
Source: RefSeq, a predicted model, not a curated record
GACAGAAUGAGAAAGACAAUGAUCAGCUCCAGGGGGAUCAGAGAAGGUCUAAAGUUACCUGUGAGUACUGUAACAAUCAGAAGACACCUAUGUGAAGACAAACUACGGACAAGAAGACCCCACAAAGUCCCACUGUUGGAAAAAACAGAGCUUAACAAUUGGUACAGAAACAUUU